Sarcophilus harrisii (Tasmanian devil) is the source of this 1558-nucleotide long non-coding RNA. The record is from Ensembl. Lineage: Eukaryota; Metazoa; Chordata; Mammalia; Dasyuromorphia; Dasyuridae.
ACAAGAACAAUGACAUAAUGAGGGAGGUACCUGGAUGGGGAUAACCUAAUGGGGGGAGGCACCUAGGAUGACACAAUGGAGGGGAGGUACUACAGAGGUUACUGAUAUUCUAAUGAUGUCUAAAAUGGAUAGACCUUUAUCCUGUCAAACAUUAAGAAGGAAUGAUUAUAGCCUAAAGAUAUAAAACCUUUAUCUUAUCAAACAUAAAGAGGUUAUAACUUGAGGCAGAGUAAACAGGACAAUGGGGAAACUAGGUCAGGACAUGAAAAGGGAAAUGUGGCACAACAAACAAAAACACAAGCCUCUGUGCAAACCCUGUGAAGGAGCUUCUCUAUGAAUUAGCAUUAAGAACUUUUUAUUAUCUUUUGAGAAAACAAACAAACAAAAAAUCACGCCAAAAAGAUACAAAGUUAAAUGGAAUUAAGUCACUGAAGUUCAAUGCAUUUUGGGAGAAUAUUCUGAGAAAAAUGUUAAAUAUUAAUGAGUAAAUUGUUUUCAACAAAUUAGCCGUCUCCAAUUGUUUUGCCUGAAGGCAGCAAGGUUUCCCAUGGGAAAACACUUUCCUUUAGUUCUUCAGGAUGGCAAUUUCUACUUUACUCAUAGUUCUUUGCAGUGAUUCCAACCUUUUAAGGCACAACAACAAAAUGAUAGACUUAUAAUUUAUUAGGACUAGAAUCCUCAUUCCACAUUACAGAUUAAUAGGCUUUUGUGGGUGAGGCAGGGAAUUAACCAUAAUGGGCUAGGUGUUUUAUGAGGAAAUGCAUUCUUUGUGUGUGCCAAGGAGGGAGGGCAGAAACAUGAGGAUCAUAUGACUCUUCAACUUUUGCCAAAGCUCAGGGAAAACAUUGACACGUUGGGGAAAGCCUUUUCUUUUCCUUGUUGCCCAUUCAUCUGUGUAAGAUUAAUUCUAAGAUGAGACUACACUGAGAAGAUCCGACAACUACAAAGCAGUACAGAGGCAAGCUCUAAGAAAUGUACAAUUUCAUAGCCUCUUGAAGAGAAAUAAUAUAUUUUUCUUUGAUCCAGUGAUACAAUUUCUAGGCUUAAAUAAUGAGAUCAAAGAAGAAAAAGACUCAUAUAUAAAAAGUAUUUAUAGCAGAUCUUUUGUUAGUGACAAAGAAUUGGAAGCUAAAAGAAUGACUGAACAAUUGGGAAAUGGCUGAACAGAUUAUGCUAUAAGAAUAUAAGGGAAAAUUAUUGUGAUAUAAUAAAUGAUGCAAGAGUCGGUUUCAGACAAACCUGAGAAGACUUUUAUGAACUGACAUGUAGUAUAAGAGUAGAAUCACAAGAACUGAUAAAAUGACAUUUCAGUCAAAAACAACUUUGAAAGAUUGAUCAGUGCAAUGACCAACCAUGAUUCCAAAGAAAUGAUGAAGUUUGCUAUCUACCUCUUGAUAGAAAGGUGGUAAAGUUAAGAUAAAAAAUUACAUUUAUUUUCAGACAUGGUUAAUAAAGUGAUUUGUUUGGCUCGACUAUGCAUAUUUUAUUUUUGUUUUGAUUUAGGGAAGUUGUGGGAUAUGGGAAAAAAGAGGGGGGGAGAUGUAGAAACAGUCAUUUA